CUUGUCUCUUAAAUGGGGACCUGUAUGAAUGGCAACACAUUUUCUAACUGUCUCUUUUCUCAACCUUCUAAACUUCUACUAAUGUGAAGAAGCAUUAAUAAAAAAGAAAGACGAGAAGACCCUGUCGAGCUUCAACUUCUAAAAGAAAAUAAAUAUAACUCUUACAAAGAACAUUCACUCUAACACGGAAGUUUUGGUUGGGGUAACCAUGGAGUACAAAAAACCUCCAGAAACUUAAACAGAUUUUAAAUCAAAUAAUCACCAAACAAAGAACCAACAUAUUGGAAAACAGAAAUAGUUACCGCAGGGAUAACAGCGUCAUCUCCUUUAAGAGUUC
This 337-nucleotide ribosomal RNA is filed under the name Holothuroidea sp. P._sinorbis_3_SEC1. RNAcentral describes it as "partial large subunit ribosomal RNA". The record is from RNAcentral. Lineage: Eukaryota; Metazoa; Echinodermata; Holothuroidea.